This 305-nucleotide ribosomal RNA is filed under the name uncultured Peredibacter sp. RNAcentral's name for it is "bacterial SSU rRNA". It matches the Rfam family "Bacterial small subunit ribosomal RNA", at positions 1033 to 1340 of the family's 1533-position model. Lineage: Bacteria; Pseudomonadati; Bdellovibrionota; Bacteriovoracia; Bacteriovoracales; Bacteriovoracaceae. The record is from RNAcentral.
GAGAGGUGCUGCAUGGCUGUCGUCAGCUCGUGUUGUGAAAUGUGGGUUAAGUCUUGCAACGAGCGCAACCUCUAUCGUUUGUUGCCAGCAUUAAGUUGGGCACUCUGACGAGACUGCCUGGGUUAACCAGGAGGAAGGUGGAGAUGACGUCAAGUCCUCAUGGCCCUUAUGUCUAGGGCUACACAUGUAAUACAAUGGCGCGUACAGAGGGAAGCGAACUCGCGAGGGGGAGCAAAUCUCAAAAAGCGCGUCUCAGUUCGGAUUGGAAUCUGCAACUCGACUCCAUGAAGUUGGAAUCGCUAGCA